Molecule: long non-coding RNA, 1971 nt
Organism: Cataglyphis hispanica
Lineage: Eukaryota; Metazoa; Arthropoda; Insecta; Hymenoptera; Formicidae
Exons: 2
Source: RefSeq, a predicted model, not a curated record
CUGAUAGUAGGAAUGAUAGAAAAUGAGUGUUUCUUAUUAAUUAAUAAAAUUAAUCACUGCUCAAUUACAUAAAUAGUUUGCGCGUAGUUCAGUAAUUAUGUUUUUUUGUUUUUAUUCAAGGUCAGUUGAUAAAUUCAAUCCGACGAGCACGAUAGUCCGUUGCCCUUGGCCCUCCUCCAAAUAAUAGCUCCACCCCUCGAAAGAUGAAUCAGAAACGUCACAGUCGCUUAAUUUAAUUUUAGUUCGUGACUCUCUACGUGUUUCUUUCUCUUCCUCUUUCGCGAGUGCCCCUUCUUUGUCCUCUUAAAUACAAACGGGCGCCAGUCGCGAUUUCGUACGGUUCUUCAUCACGUAACGAGCAUACGUAACACGCUCGACGAGGAAUACAAUUACGACUAUUUGCUAAACUUGUCCUUACAGAAGUGAUUUUUCCAAUGAUGCGUAUUUGUCAUCGAAACGAGAGAGAAUUAUAUUAGCUUGUCUGUGGACAAUAACAGGCAUAUCAUCAUCGAUGCUCUCCUCGAUGCGAGAAACGGGACACCUACGUAACCGACGAUACAACGUGUUGAACGUGAACAUUAGUGCUGAGAACUAGGUUACUGCGAACCGCUACGCGCGGUUGGACUCUCUCGUAUCCCGACUGCAAAUUACCGAUCCUUGGAUGGCUCCUUUCUUCUAUUACCCAGAUGAAAAACCACGCAUAUAUUAAAAUUUCGUUCGAAAUAAUCGCGGCAUCUGCGAAAUAUAUGAUAUGCAGCGACAACAAUUUUAUUUAUCGUAGCGUAGAAUUUAAUCUCUCCUUAAUUUAUCUGCGGACGUGAUAUACAUCUUUUUUAUGUCGCUUUAAAAAAUUAUAUAUUAAAAGAAACAUUAUGCGGGAUCAUGCAGAACUUGUUUUUAUCCGCGAACGUGCGGUAUUGAUGUUUUUUUUUCUCUGUUGCUGGUGUGUCUCGUUAAAAACCAACAGAAGCCACGCGAAACGAUAAUGUAAUGGGUCAGCAAUCAUCACGGUCACAUCGGCACGCCUGUCUGUGUGCCUUUCACACAACCAUUCGCGUUAUUGAAAUUUACAUAUUCUUCGCGUAAACAUGUGUCUUUAACGCCCAGGUACCUAAGUAACGGAUACACUAGAAGAUGUCACAAAGACGCUGUCGUAGCAAUAAAAUGUCAAGGUAAAAAAAAAAAAAAUAAAAAAAUGGCAAAUCAGCGAGUCGAAUCGUACACGAGAAUUAAGAAAUGACGAAUAAAUUUUGCAUGUCGAGCGAGCGAGACCGGCUAUCGCGACGACGGCUAUCGAGACCAUCGGUUUUAUCCUCAAGAGCCUUAAUUCCCGCCAAUUUGUGCCGACACGCGUCCGACAGUCAUGCUUUGUUACUUUUCCAAGACGUGGAAACCGCUCGUGCGCUUUAACUGCAUCCGAGGCGCUUCUCUCUCUUGGAUGAAUUAUAUAUAAAGACAAUUUUAACAACCUUCUCGCACGAGUCUCAUUCAAGAGCGUUGAAUCUCUGGGUGUUCUCAAGAGUGUCGGCGAUAUCUCUUCUCCUUUCUCGCCUAAGGGCGAUCAGAGGUAGAGACAGAAUAAUGAUAAUUUAUGGUUUUCAUCGGUAUAUACCGGUUUCAACUUCAGGUAUAUAAAGAUCACUGGGACGGUAUAUUAUAAUGCGGAAUUUUUUCCCAUACGUCCCGCAAAUUUUACUCGAUUCAUACAUUAUGCAAUUAAGUUAAUGCGCGUGACAACACACGAUGACUUGUGUAACGGGCUAUUGACGAUGUAGCUGCUCGCGCGGCGCGAUUGAUUAUAAUCUCAAUAAAAAAUACAUUCCAUGGCACGCGUUCGCGAUCGACCGCUGACUUUCCGACACACUGAUGUCUACGAUAAGAUUAAAGUCAUCACGAAUAGUAUCUCCAACGCAUCUUUUGUUAUUUGUGUGUGCCUAUUAUAUAAAGACAAUAAACUUAAAGUUAUAUUUA